UGGGGUGCCAUUGUGUUACUGGUUUUCAGUUUUUAAAGUCAAACUAUUUUGGAAACUUAACUAAAUUAAGCUUGGAAGAUGUCCUCCAGUGCCCUGAGUGCUGCCUGUCUGCCCAGCACGACGUUAUAGAGGCUGACCCAGGAGAACCCUCUUCCCAUCCCACCCGUCCUUUCCCUCCUACAAACACAAGGAGGAUAAGAAGCCCUCUGGCCCUCCGUAGUGAAAUAUUCCCCUAAGCCAGAGCCCAGACUUUUAAAAGAAAUCUCCAAAGCUUGUGGUCCUUUCUUCUGGAUUUGCUUAACUCCUGACAAUUUGCUUAAUCCUUUUCUUGGAGGUGUCAACAGCUUCCUGUGACCCCCAUUAACAGUGGGUGGAUCCACCCCAGAAUGUCUCAUUGAUGAGCCCCUCAUAGCAGGCUUUGCGGAUGACCCAUUUCAGGGUGUACUUUGAGGAAGACAUUAUGUUCAUGUGUGUCUAAAGCAAGCGUCUGGAAUGUAUCCCGGUGUUCAUUCGUCUAACGGUCCCAAGCAUUUACACUGUCAGUUUCUGUUGCCACGCUUGUCAGUGCCACCAUCAGUACUGACUCACUCAGGGACCUUGUGUAAACCACUGGCGUCAAUACUCUGUGGCUCCUGCCAAACAAAUGCUAGGUAGCUCUUCUGGGAAGAGUCGUAUUUCUGACUGCAGCUGGCCAUUCAUCAAGCGUCUGGAAUUGGCCCUAAUCUUGUCUGUUGGCCCCGGAUAUGCCAUCUUCCCGCUCUGAUUAAGCUUUCCCAUCCCACACCUCAUUGCCUCCUCAUCCACAUUCCUCUGCCCAAUCUUUAUUUCAGGAGAUAUCAUUGUUCUCCAAUCUCAUAUAAUUACCAUUCCAGUGUGACUCAACAGUAUCCAAUGAAGCCCUGAAAAAUAUUCCUUGGAACAGAAAGGACUGGGGGAGUCAUUCAAUCAUAGCAAGGUAGAGUUGCCAGGGACCUUGAGCUCACCGUGUCCAGCUCCCCCCUCCUCCCACAUGGACAACUGAGGCACGGGGGGUUAUCUGACUUGCCAAAGAUCUUAACAGCAAACAAAGCCUCUCAGUGGAAUUAGACAUACAGAGAUAAAAGUAUGGGAGGGAUAGAGGUAUUCUGAGGACAAUGGAAAGAACUGCAAGUUCUGAUAAGUAUUUUGGACUUCCAACAGAUAAUCAGCAGCUGGCCUCUGUCUCCACUGAGGAUAAGAUAUGGAGAUAAAUGGGGAAUGGUGGAGACCCCUUUCUGGACUCUAAGCAAGGGUGGUGCCCCUGUCAGGGGCAGAGGAGUGGCAGGGUGAGGUGGGGGAGCCCUGGACGAUAUCGCGCAAUGUCUGACAGCAAGAGCGGCGUCCCGUGUACCAGGUGCCCGCUGCCUGUGUGGCUGAGCGGGCCCCGAGUGCUCUCCCUGAAACCUCUCAAGGGGUUCGCUUAUCUGAUUACAAGUUCUGCCGCUGGGAAAUGAACAGCAGGGACGGAUGGGUCUCUAAACAGAAGAAAUCUGAUUUUCCUGCAACAUCCCUGCGAAAUCAAAGCAUGUAAGAAUCAUCAAGACAGGAAAAUCCUGCUUCUAUCUUCAUCAACCCAUUUUGGAAAAAUGACUUAAAUCUUGGCCACUAUAGAUAGCUUUGUAUAUCCUAUAUGGAUUGCUUUAGAGGUCAAGCAUACAGAAGGCAGCAUUUAAUUUUCAAGUUCUGAAGGAUCUGAAGAUGGCCCAGUCCUGUUUCCUCCUCCACCACCUUUUUUUCAUCAUUUAUAUAUUUUGAAACAUAUGUAAGCGUCCUCUGUCUGUUUUCCAUGCAGCGCUCUGAAGAUGAGUUUCAACAUUGUUUCAUUCUCUGCGGAGUGUAAACUCCUGGAAGGCAGGGAUUGUAUUUUAUGUUAGAUGAAUGCCAGGAUUUUUCUUUAUUCCUGCAAAUCCUAGAUCAGUGCCUUUGACAGCAUGGAAACUGAAUACAAGUUUACUGUACUUAGACUGAAUUUAAUAAAAAUAAGGAUCAUUGUGUGACUAUA
This is a long non-coding RNA of Capra hircus (goat), 2020 nucleotides long. RefSeq lists it as uncharacterized. The transcript is spliced from 3 exons. Lineage: Eukaryota; Metazoa; Chordata; Mammalia; Artiodactyla; Bovidae. The record is from RefSeq and is a predicted model, not a curated record.